GAUGAACGCUGGCGGCGUGCCUAAUACAUGCAAGUCGAGCGAACGGACGCGAAGCUUGCUUCUCUGAUGUUAGCGGCGGACGGGUGAGUAACACGUGGAUAACCUACCUAUAAGACUGGGAUAACUUCGGGAAACCGGAGCUAAUACCGGAUAAUAUUUUGAACCGCAUUGUUCAAAAGUGAAAGACGGUCUUGCUGUCACUUAUAGAUGGAUCCGCGCUGCAUUAGCUAGUUGGUAAGGUAACGGCUUACCAAGGCAACGAUGCAUAGCCGACCUGAGAGGGUGAUCGGCCACACUGGAACUGAGACACGGUCCAGACUCCUACGGGAGGCAGCAGUAGGGAAUCUUCCGCAAUGGGCGAAAGCCUGACGGAGCAACGCCGCGUGAGUGAUGAAGGUCUUCGGAUCGUAAAACUCUGUUAUUAGGGAAGAACAUAUGUGUAAGUAACUGUGCACAUCUUGACGGUACCUAAUCAGAAAGCCACGGCUAACUACGUG
This 497-nucleotide ribosomal RNA is filed under the name uncultured bacterium. RNAcentral's name for it is "partial 16S ribosomal RNA". It matches the Rfam family "Bacterial small subunit ribosomal RNA", at positions 28 to 507 of the family's 1533-position model. The record is from RNAcentral.